GGGCUAUAAGCGUUCAUCACUACUUACCUUGGGUUCAAGAUCAUCUCCUUCUAUGAUCGUAUCGAUCAUGUGUGUUUUCUCAACAUUGUUAAAAUUGAAUGGUGGAAUUGAGAGUCAUAGACUCGUAAUGUAACACUCUCAAGUUGUCUCCUAAUGGUCACAAACCAUGAUGAUAUAUCCUAAUGAUCAUGGGAACUUCAUGGCUAGGUGGGGAAUAAAUAUCACCGCGUCAAGUAAGUUGAGGGAUGGUC
Molecule: long non-coding RNA, 251 nt
Filed under: Vigna radiata
Lineage: Eukaryota; Viridiplantae; Streptophyta; Magnoliopsida; Fabales; Fabaceae
Description: long non-coding RNA (VRAD_LNC013326)
Source: RNAcentral